AACGAACGCUGGCGGCAUGCCUAACACAUGCAAGUCGAACGAGACCUUCGGGUCUAGUGGCGCACGGGUGCGUAACGCGUGGGAACCUGCCCUUAGGUUCGGAAUAACUCCCCGAAAGGGGUGCUAAUACCGGAUAAUGUCUUCGGACCAAAGAUUUAUCGCCUUUGGAUGGGCCCGCGUUGGAUUAGCUAGUUGGUAGGGUAAAAGCCUACCAAGGCGACGAUCCAUAGCUGGUCUGAGAGGAUGAUCAGCCACACUGGGACUGAGACACGGCCCAGACUCCUACGGGAGGCAGCAGUGGGGAAUAUUGGACAAUGGGCGAAAGCAUGAUCCAGCAAUGCCGCGUGAGUGAUGAAGGCCUUAGGGUUGUAAAGCUCUUUUACCCGGGAUGAUAAUGACAGUACCGGGAGAAUAAGCUCCGGCUAACUCCGU
RNAcentral lists this ribosomal RNA (432 nucleotides) under uncultured bacterium. RNAcentral describes it as "partial 16S ribosomal RNA". It matches the Rfam family "Bacterial small subunit ribosomal RNA", at positions 29 to 506 of the family's 1533-position model. The record is from RNAcentral.